CUAAAACACUCUCUCUCAUGAAUCUCAGGCCCACCCCUCGGUCGAUCUCCUCUCCCCGCGAUCUCCACGCCGCCGCACCACCCACACCGGCCGGUUCCGGUGAGCUCCAGCCGCGCGCAAAACGCUUGAUGCCGCCCAGUGCUCCAUGGCGGCUCCUACGGCGUGCUCACCUACCCGGCCCUUCACGCCGCUGUGAUCUUCGGCCCUUCACGCCGCUGUGAUCUUCGGCCCUAUCGCGCUCCUGGACGAGUCCACGGUGGCGGGCCCCAGCCGUCCGCCCCUCUGGGUGACGUCCAUGGCCACAUUCACUCGCACGUGAGCACCCCCUCCCCUCACUCUGCUCCUCAGAUCCGCUCUCCUCCUGUCCCCUGUCGUACCGUGGCUCUGAGAUUGAAUGGUCCCUCUCGGGAAGCCCCACCUCAAUGUCAACACCAUCGGGCAAGACCACUCUCAUCGUCGCCAUCACCAACGUCAGAUCAGGCCUGCUCCGGUACACUUGCAGUGUGUUAUCGAAGGCUGGGAGCGCCAAGGUGGUGGAGUUCGACGAGAUCGACAAGGCCCCGGAGGAGAAGGUCGUCAAGGAGGUCCGUCGGGCGGCGCUCGAGCUGCAGCGCGCGGGCAGGGCCCCGUGGGUUCUGAUGCUGGGGAAGAAUAGUUCCAAGGAUGCAAACAUUUUCUCUGAUUAGCAUUGGAUCUAGUCUGUUUUCUUGUUUGCGCCGCCAAACUGAAUCAUUUUACAUUGUCUGUUUCAAGGUCGAUUUCUUGUUUGCGCCCCCUAGAUCGGAUCCUUUUACUUAGUUUCAGGCCAUCAUUGAAUCUGUACAUAUUGUUUGUGUGGUGGAAUUUAGUGCAACUGACAUUAUAAUCACUCCAAGGAUGCAAACAUAUUUUCUGAUUAGCGAUGGAUCUAGUCUGUUUUCUUGUUUGCACCCCCAAACUGAAUCAUUUUACAUAGAUUCAGACCAUCAACAUUUUUGUGAAAUCAACAACAAUCUAUAUAUUUUUAUUUCUCUAAUGAAAUUUACUGCAACUAACAUUAGAUGAUUGCAAUUGUUAUCUGGAUGCAAAAUUCACCCUGAUAAUUUCCAGCUUCUUUUUACUGCAAUAGUUCUGUUUUCUAAUUUGGUUUAUGUCAUUGACGAUCAGCUAUGAGAUUGUCUGCGAGUUGUUCAACUGCUUCGAGAGCUCCACCGGGCUCCUCCGCAUGAAGAGAUCCAAGGCAACAUUCCCCAUUAUCUGCUCUAGCAUUCAAAACUUGGCUGAGAGGAGGUUUACCUAUGGCCAUAUUGCACAGCUCAAGUACAUUAUGCCCGAGACUAUUGUCAUCAACAAGAUCCUUUUGCGUGACGACAAGACCUGCUGCAUGAAGCCGGAUCUUCAAGUGAACCUAUUGGUUGAUUCAGUUGAAGACAGUGCGAUGCAGAAGGGCGAAAACUGUUACUUUGCUAUGAGAAGGAUGUUCAGGCAAAGGCUCGUGGACUUCCUUCAUGAAACAUCCUGAGUUAUAUAUGAUCAUCAUGUAUCUUUCACACUUUCAGCAUACAGUAGUUAAUUGUGCAAGUUUAUUGUCAUAUGAGAACAGUUCGGUAAAUGUAUGGUUACUAGUGCUAGUGAAGGAAAUGUACUAGUUGGUGUAUGCUUAGUUGAUAUGAAGUAUUCAUGUUCUCUCUGUAA
Molecule: RNA transcript, 1674 nt
Organism: Hordeum vulgare subsp. vulgare (domesticated barley)
Lineage: Eukaryota; Viridiplantae; Streptophyta; Magnoliopsida; Poales; Poaceae
Gene name: CDT1-like protein a, chloroplastic
Exons: 3
Source: RefSeq, a predicted model, not a curated record